UACGUAGGGGCCAAGCGUUAUCCGGAUUUACUGGGCGUAAAGCGCAUGUAGGCGGUUUGCUAAGUCGGACGUGAAAGCUCCUGGCUCAACUAGGAGAGGUCGUUCGAAACUAGUAGACUGGAGGGUGGUAGAGGAGAGUGGAAUUCCAGGUGUAGCGGUGAAAUGCGUAGAUAUCUGGAGGAACACCAGUGGCGAAAGCGGCUCUCUGGACCAUUCCUGACGCUGAGAUGCGAAAGCCAGGGGAGAGAACGGG
RNAcentral lists this ribosomal RNA (253 nucleotides) under uncultured bacterium. RNAcentral's name for it is "partial 16S ribosomal RNA". It matches the Rfam family "Bacterial small subunit ribosomal RNA", at positions 524 to 776 of the family's 1533-position model. The record is from RNAcentral.